Molecule: ribosomal RNA, 237 nt
Filed under: uncultured Staphylococcus sp.
Lineage: Bacteria; Bacillati; Bacillota; Bacilli; Caryophanales; Staphylococcaceae
Description: partial 16S ribosomal RNA
Rfam family: Bacterial small subunit ribosomal RNA
Source: RNAcentral
CGGGUGAGUAACACGUGGAUAACCUACCUAUAAGACUGGGAUAACUUCGGGAAACCGGAGCUAAUACCGGAUAAUAUUUUGAACCGCAUGGUUCAAAAGUGAAAGACGGUCUUGCUGUCACUUAUAGAUGGAUCCGCGCUGCAUUAGCUAGUUGGUAAGGUAACGGCUUACCAAGGCAACGAUGCAUAGCCGACCUGAGAUGGUGAUCGGCCACACUGGAACUGAGACACGGUCCAG